GACGAACGCUGGCGGCGUGCUUAACACAUGCAAGUCGAACGGGCCCGCCCCUGUUUUUGGGGGUGGGUUGAGUGGCGAACGGGUGAGUAUCACGUGAGUAACCUGCCCCCUGCUCCUGGAUAACUGCUUGAAAGGGCGGCUAAUACGGGGUGUGCCGGCUGGUCCGCAUGGGCCUGGUCGGGAUAGUUUCAUCUUCGGGUGUUUCGGUGGGGGAUGGGCUCGCGGCCUAUCAGCUUGUUGGUGGGGUGAUGGCCCACCAAGGCGGUGACGGGUAGCCGGCCUGAGAGGGUGGGCGGCCACACUGGUCUGAGACACGGCCCAGACUCCUGCGGGAGGCAGCAGUGGGGGGUAUUGCGCAAUGGGCGGAAGCCUGAUGCAGCGACGUCGCGUGAGGGAUGGAGGCCUUCGGGUUGGGAACCUCUUUCUCCGGUGGUGAAGGCCCUGUCCGUUGCGGCGGGGUUGACGGUAGCCGGGGAUGAAGCGCCGGCUAACUACGUG
This 498-nucleotide ribosomal RNA is filed under the name uncultured bacterium. Its description in RNAcentral is "partial 16S ribosomal RNA". It matches the Rfam family "Bacterial small subunit ribosomal RNA", at positions 28 to 507 of the family's 1533-position model. The record is from RNAcentral.